GGGGAUGUGGCGGAAUUGGCAGACGCGCUGGAUUUAGGUUCCAGUUCCUCAGGGAGUGCAGGUUCGACUCCUGUCAUCCCCA
RNAcentral lists this transfer RNA (82 nucleotides) under Aeoliella straminimaris. It matches the Rfam family "tRNA". Rfam says of the family: Transfer RNA (tRNA) molecules are approximately 80 nucleotides in length. Their secondary structure includes four short double-helical elements and three loops (D, anti-codon, and T loops). Further hydrogen bonds mediate the characteristic L-shaped molecular structure. tRNAs have two regions of fundamental functional importance: the anti-codon, which is responsible for specific mRNA codon recognition, and the 3' end, to which the tRNAs corresponding amino acid is attached (by aminoacyl-tRNA synthetases). tRNAs cope with the degeneracy of the genetic code in two manners: having more than one tRNA (with a specific anti-codon) for a particular amino acid; and 'wobble' base-pairing, i.e. permitting non-standard base-pairing at the 3rd anti-codon position. Lineage: Bacteria; Pseudomonadati; Planctomycetota; Planctomycetia; Pirellulales; Lacipirellulaceae. The record is from Rfam by way of RNAcentral.